RNAcentral lists this ribosomal RNA (253 nucleotides) under uncultured bacterium. RNAcentral's name for it is "partial 16S ribosomal RNA". It matches the Rfam family "Bacterial small subunit ribosomal RNA", at positions 524 to 776 of the family's 1533-position model. The record is from RNAcentral.
UACAGAGGCCCCAAGCGUUACUGAGAAUCACUGGGUUUAAAGGGUGCGUAGGCGGGUUAUUAAGUCAGUGGUGAAAGCUCCAUGCCUAACAUGGAAAUUGCCAUUGAUACUGAUGAUCUUGAGUACAUUUGAAGUGGGCGGAAUGUGUCAUGUAGUGGUGAAAUACUUAGAUAUGACACAGAACACCGAUUGCGUAGGCAGCUCACUAAACUGUAACUGACGCUGAGGCACGAAAGCGUGGGGAGCAAACAGG